RNAcentral lists this small nucleolar RNA (134 nucleotides) under Mola mola (ocean sunfish). Lineage: Eukaryota; Metazoa; Chordata; Actinopteri; Tetraodontiformes; Molidae. The record is from RNAcentral.
UCGCACCGUUCGUAACCUGGUUCAGUUGUCCGUGUGAACUCUGGGUUCCAUUCCGGUGCCACAGUGAGCUCCGGUGAGGCAGGGGAGCGGCGCCUUUUCUGUGUUCGCUCCCUGUUCACUCUCCGGGAACACGA